Long non-coding RNA from Brienomyrus brachyistius, 206 nucleotides. RefSeq lists it as uncharacterized. Lineage: Eukaryota; Metazoa; Chordata; Actinopteri; Osteoglossiformes; Mormyridae. The record is from RefSeq and is a predicted model, not a curated record. The transcript is spliced from 2 exons.
CGGCUCUUCAGCCCAUUUCAAGGCGCACUCGUGACCGAUCUGCCCUUCACAACGAGCCAGCUUCUUUCUGCCAAGCGAUGCGUAGAACAAUCCGGACUUCACACGGUGAAAUUAGAAACACGCCUCGGGAGUGAUCAGAAGGCCGCAUCAAUGGAACCGGAUAACCAAGGUCAGACAAACAGGUCACUGCCGCCCCCCCCCAAACA